This is a long non-coding RNA of Hemicordylus capensis (graceful crag lizard), 1077 nucleotides long. RefSeq lists it as uncharacterized. Lineage: Eukaryota; Metazoa; Chordata; Lepidosauria; Squamata; Cordylidae. The transcript is spliced from 5 exons. The record is from RefSeq and is a predicted model, not a curated record.
GGCAUGUAAAGGCCAAUGACACAUUUGACACAAUAUGCAGUUUGGCCCAUUCUUUCAGAUGGGAAGGAAGAGCAGUUUGCCCAUCCAACCUGAAGACCAAAUUUCAUGAUUGCACAGAGCACUUCUGGAGGAAGGGGAGAUUGGUGGAAAGCCCCCCCCCCACACGAACAUCUGCACUUCAGAACUGGGAAUGGACCCACUUCACAGAUGCUUCUUCCGAUUGCACACAUGGAGCACCAGCCAGGAGGAAGAAAGCCAAUGACAGUUCUCACAGGGAGAGGCCAAGCUAGGACUCCAAGGUCUCCAGGGCUGCUGAAAUACAGCAACUUGCCACAAGGAGAAGCAGCAACAUAUGAAGCCUCAGCCCAGGCAGAAUCUGACCCUUACAUAGCCCCCUUGUAUAAGCUGUCCAGGCCUCACACUCAAAUAGCAAUCCACAUCUGCUGGCAGUUGAUUUAUCCCCUGACGAUGGCCUGAUCUGCUGAUCAAAACUGGCGAUACUUCAAGUGGAAUUCUAAAUAUUCACCAGCUGCUGCAUCACUGUGGUUUGAAAGAGACAUUGCUAAGUGAACGGAUAAUAAGAAAAAUAAUAAGUGCACUUUUGUUUCCAAACAGUUCCUGACAGAUUUCCUUCCUGUCCUCUCGUCCAGAGCGAUUCCGAACAUGGACAAAGUGAGGACAUUUCAUCCACUUGCACAACUAGCAUGUAGAGGGACUGAGGGAGAUGCAUGUGAGUCCCAGUCACAUCCCUGCAGUCCCUCAUCAGUGUGCUUCAUUAGUGUCAUUCAGUGUCAGCCAGUGUUCCCUAUUGGUUCUACAACACUGAAAUCAUGCACCACAUCCUGAGCACCACUCAGGAUGAAAUCCAGGGUCGCCUUCCCUCUGGUCAGUUCCAUGACCAACUGUUCUAAGGAACAGUCAUUUAGGGCAUCUAGAAAUUUGACUUUGUCAUGACCUAACAGUGAAUCCACUCAGUCUGUGGAUACAUUUGCAUGUAACAUAAAUGUGGCCACAUUUGCAUGUGAUUUAAAAAAAAUUAUUGUUAUUGUUCACUGCCUAGAGGCUUUGGAGGAGAUA